ACAAACUUGGUCAUUUAGAGGAAGUAAAAGUCGUAACAAGGUUUCCGUAGGUGAACCUGCGGAAGGAUCAUUAUCGAGCUCUUUCAGUCGGGGACUGUGCUGGCCCUCGGGCAUGUGCACGUCCCCUUCCUUUCCACACACCUCGUGCACCUCUAGGCGGCGCUCCCGACGGAAGUCGCCUGUUUUUCACUUGCGCUUUUUUUUUUUCAUUGUAUGUAUUGGGAUGGCUCUAAAUAGUAACAACUUUCAACAACGGAUCUCUUGGCUCUCGCAUCGAUGAAGAACGCAGC
RNAcentral lists this unclassified non-coding RNA (290 nucleotides) under uncultured fungus. RNAcentral's name for it is "partial contains small subunit ribosomal RNA, internal transcribed spacer 1, and 5.8S ribosomal RNA". The stretch from base 1 to 73 matches the Rfam family "Eukaryotic small subunit ribosomal RNA", at positions 1759 to 1831 of the family's 1831-position model. The record is from RNAcentral. Lineage: Eukaryota; Fungi.